Molecule: unclassified non-coding RNA, 143 nt
Organism: Macaca fascicularis (crab-eating macaque)
Lineage: Eukaryota; Metazoa; Chordata; Mammalia; Primates; Cercopithecidae
Rfam family: Metazoan signal recognition particle RNA
About the family: The signal recognition particle (SRP) is a universally conserved ribonucleoprotein.
Source: Ensembl
GCCGGGUGUGGUGGUGCACACCUGUAAUCCCAGCUAUUCGGGAGGCUGAGGCAGGAGAAUUGCUUGAACCCAGGAGGUGGAGGUUACAGUGAGCCCAGAUUGUGCCGCUCCAGCCUGGGCAACAGAGCAAGACUCUGUCUCAG